RNA transcript from Sorghum bicolor (sorghum), 4780 nucleotides. It is a transcript of the gene named cyclin-dependent kinase G-1, with no coding region annotated. NCBI's taxonomy places the organism in Eukaryota, Viridiplantae, Streptophyta, Magnoliopsida, Poales, Poaceae. The record is from RefSeq and is a predicted model, not a curated record. The transcript has 8 exons.
AUGGCUGCGGCGCGGCACGGGGGCUACAGGAGCCACGACGUGUCCAGGAGGCGGGAGCACGACCUAGAGCGUUCCAGGAGGAGCAAGGAGUACCGCCGCCCGAGCCGCGACCGCGACUCGGAACGGCGCCGUGAUGGCAGCAGGGGCCGUGAGGUGGACAACGGGUACAGCCGCCCCCGCUCGCCGUAUCCGCCACCGAGGAGCCGACCUUCGAGGAGGAAGGACGAUAAGGAGCCUGGUGAGGUCUCCAGCGAUAGCGGCUCGGAGUCUGCUGGGCGCCCACCGGUGCCGAGGCAGGAUGGGGUUCUAGGGGUCCGCAGGGAUGGAGAUGGAGGUUCGUUGCCACCGAGCAAGAAGAGGAAGCACUCACCUGGAUUCCACGAUACGAAUGUUUCAAAGCUGAAGGCAAGAGACGAGGAGUGGAGCAGGAGAGGACCUGAUGCCUUAGCUGCAGAGCUCCCUCUUCAUUCGCCGCCUCCUUUGUCAGACACGACCCCUGAGGCUGUGAAUUUGGAAGUUUUGGUGGUUCCAAAUGAUGCUGAAAGGAGGGAUGGGAUUACAGAGGAGGAAGAGGAUUGUGCAACGAGAAACAUUUUUACUUCCAGAUGGGCGGAUGCUGACGAAGAGGAGGAAGAGGUGAUUGUGCCCAAGAAGAAGAAGAAGAGUGUGUCACCUGCUCAUUUGCCUGAAGAAAAAUCCACAAAGAAAGUCAUGAGCCCAGAACUGGGAGCAGUGAUGGACAGUAAAACAUCAAGAAGAACUUCCUCAAGUUCAUCCAACUCGAUGGGUAGUGAAAACUGUAAUAUUGAGGUAGACGAGGGUAACUGCAUGGAUGUUGAAAAAGAGGAUGAUAUUGAUUCUUCUGCUGGUUGUUCGCCGGGUACUCGUUCCAGGAGUGAUGUGCAUAGGUCUGGAACACCUGAAGCUGUACGACCACCACGUAGGUGCUUUAACAUGCUUCAGGGCUGUAGGAGUAUUGAUGAGUUUGAGAGGAUCAACACAAUCAAUGAGGGUACAUAUGGAGUUGUAUUUAGGGUGAGGGACAAGAAAACUGGUGAGAUAGUUGCAUUGAAGAAGGUCAAGGUGGAUAAGGAAAAGGGUCGGGAAGGUUUUCCAUUGACUUCUCUUAGGGAAAUCAAUAUCCUUCUAUCAUUUGACCACCCUUCAAUUGUGGAUGUUAAGGAAGUAGUUGUUGGUGGUCAUGACGAUGAUACUUUUAUGGUGAUGGAGUACAUGGAGCAUGAUCUUAAGGGUGUCAUGGAGGCGAUGAAGCAACCAUAUACCCAAAGUGAGGUCAAAUGUUUGAUGCUUCAGCUGCUAGAGGGCGUGAAGUAUCUUCAUGACAAUUGGGUACUUCACAGGGAUCUCAAGACAUCAAAUCUCCUCUUGAAUAACCGUGGUGAGUUGAAAAUAUGUGAUUUUGGACUCUCUCGUCAAUAUGGCAGCCUGCUAAAGCCUUACACCCAACCAGUUGUGACUUUGUGGUACAGGGCUCCGGAGCUACUAUUAGGGGCAAAGGAGUAUUCUACUGCUAUCGAUAUGUGGUCAUUAGGUUGCAUAAUGGCAGAACUCUUGUCAAAGGAGCCACUCUUCACUGGGAAGUCUGAGAUAGAUCAACUUGAUAAGAUAUUUAGGAUACUUGGCACACCCAAUGAGGAGCGAUGGCAUGGUUUUUCCAAAUUGCCCGGCGCCAAAGGCAACUUUGUAAAGCGACCGUACAAUAGAUUAAGGGACAAAUUUCCAGCUGUAUCCUUCACGGGAGGCUUGACCUUGUCAGAGGCUGGGUUUGACCUGCUAAAUAGGUUGCUGACGUAUGACCCUGAGAAGCGCAUAUCUGCUGAUGAUGCCUUGGACCAUGAUUGGUUCCGUGAAGUUCCUCUGCCCAAGACGAAGGAAUUCAUGCCAACGUUUCCUGCUCUGAAUGAACAGGACAGGAGGGUCAAGAAAUACAUGAAGAGUCCUGACCCCCUGGUGGAGCAACAGAUGAAAGAACAAGGGAGCAUAGGAGAUCGUGGCCUUUUUGGCUGAUCUGAAACCAGACCAGCCUUACUGCAAAUGACAGUUUUUGAGUGAGUAAACAUGUUCCAAGGUGAGGUGUACAACUGGACAGAGAAGUAUCCCGUCUACUUGGUGUGCGGUGACAGCUUAUUGUGUUCUAUAACAGGCAAGGAAUCAAAGUGGAACAGAAAUGUACUUUAAGUCCCAUGCAGCUAGUGUUCCAAUGGCGGGGUUAGCUCUCUACCAGAACUAUAAUACUCUAACCUACCAUCAUUAUAAGGUGCAGAUCUAAUGCACUUUCAGUUCAUCUAAAAGGUCUGGCCUUGCGUACACCAAGUUUCACCUCUGACAUGUGUAAAGUAUUAUAAAUUGUCGACUUGUAAUCAGUAAUCAAAUAGAUAUUAGUGACAUUUCAUUUUCUCUUUUCAACUAGUGCAUUUUCUUGUGAUCUUUUCAUUUUCUUUGCAAGAGUUGAAUGAAGUGAAGCGACCGGUGCCUUUUUCUUUUCGCAAGGAAAUCAAUUUUCCCCUCUUAAUGGGAAUUGUAAGGUAAAAUGCCGAGGAGCCUGUUCCCUCUGCUGAUGUGUUAUCAUGUAAAAAUGUGUUGAAUCUAUAUCUUUAGUAAUUUCUUAUUUAAAUUUGCUAAAGGAUCUGGUUUGUACUGAACAGAGUUAGAUCUAUCAUGACACCCUCUGCUGCUUCCUCUAGUUAGCUUGGUGUACCAUGUCUUAUAGACAUAGCCUGCUCAUUUUCAACAGUGCAAGUGUUCACCUGGCAGGCAAAUUUUCUGGUUCGACAUAUGUUAACGAUGUAGAAACAUUUCUACAAUCUAGGAAUCAAAUCAGUCUCAGGUGUGAAGCAUUUUUAGUUUCUUAUUAGGUGAGACUAGGUUCUUAACAUUGUUGCUUGGUCUACUAAUCCUUGCACCUGUGUUGAUAUAUUCAUAUCGGUGAGCUUAUUUAUUGUAAAUUGUCAUUGCUUCAGCAGUCAUUUCUUGUGAGAAACUACUGAAUUGUCACUAGUGUUCUUGCCAGGAUUUGUUAGGCUAGAUACCUUUCUUUAGGAAUAGUAUAUAUGCUCUGUUAGAUCUGGUCCUGAUGAUUUCUGUUACCAAUUAGACUUCAAUUGAUGGCUAAAUCUUGAAGGACUUCUUGGAAAGUUUACGUAACUUACUUCAAACAUUAUGUUACACGUCUGCAGCUUAAAGCUGUGGCUGUAUCAAGAGAGGAAGGAUUCGUGGAUGCCAGAUUAUAUACCUUACUGACUUUUUUUGUGGUCGGGCCUCUCAAAGGUCUCAUCUGUAAUUGUGAAUCCAAGUGGUCAGUUUACUAUCUUAUCUUCUAUGUACAGUCAGGGGUUUAUAUGCAAUGAUUUGUUCUUACUCCACCUGUUCUUCACUUGACAGAGUUUAGCUCAGCUCUUUUGACUACUAUGGUAACCUCUGCCCUCUUCGUCUUCCCACUCCACUUAUGUUUCAUCAGCUCAUCAUCAUUAUUUAUCAUUCCUGUGAUUUGUUGCACCAUCAUUAUCAAUUUGUUUCUUUAUUUGCAUGGACAUGAACUGUUCCCACCAUACUUGGCACCUGUUCAGGCUUAGAGUCAGGAUUCUAUGCUUAUUAUUGCUUGAAUAGUUAUAUGAAGGUAGGUAAAACGAUAAAGUUAAGAAUAUGCUAAAUUACUCCUUGUGCUUUGGUUAGAUGAUAUUACCGGACAUAUUUGUUGAGGUGUAAGGCAGUUCUGGGUUUACCUGUUCAUUCUCCAAACAGUUGAUCAAUCAUGGCUUUCAACUUCUUCCAAGGGUGAACUAAACAAGGCCAUGGCAGGGCACCUAUGGAGACAAAGUCAACACAUUGACGGACUUAAAUACCGAGGGGGGGAUGCAGAUGAUAGUUUAUGUUGAUCAGUGAAUAACUAAUUUGAUUUAUACCAAUGUAGUAGAAAAGGCGCAAUUCUAGUUUUCUCCUUAGGGCCUAUUUAGUUCCCACCUUGAAAAGUUUUUUGGGGGUACUGGUAACUAUAGCAAUUAGUGUCUAAUCAUGGACUAAUUAGACUCAAAAGAUUCAUCUAAUAAAAUACAUGGGAACUGUGCAAUUAGUUAUUUUUCUAUCUAUAUUUAAUGUUUUAUACAUGUGUUCAAACAUUAGAUGGGAUAGGGUAAAAAGUUUUUGGGUGAGAACUGAGCAAGGCCUGGUUUAAUAUACAUUAUUAUUGCAUUUUUUUUUUCUGAAUCGAGGGAGUAUAAUCUCUUACAUUUGAUAGUUUGAAAAGAUUCUUUCUCAUCUUCUUUACAUCCGGCUGUUAGAUGCCAUUCCCAUAAUAUGAUGGCAUAUAAUCAGGUGUCAUUCAACAUAGCUGUCAUGUAUCCUAAAUCGAUGUAUUCUCAAGUCUCUGUGUGACUUCGGCCUCAUUAACUCUGAUUUAACCCUUUUUAUGUGCAAACGCAUGUUUGAAAGGAUGAUUGAUGGAGACUCCUGAAGAUACAACCUUCUACCAGCCAGGCGUAUGUAGACCUCUAUUUCUUGCAGGAGAUCAUUACCUUGAGUAUUUCAUGCAGGAGAUUAUUAGCAUCUUGAGUUUUGUAAAAAAAAACACGGAACACGGAAAUAUAUUAGAUAAUCUGGUUGAACUUUGUUCUUUUCUUUUGUUAGUUAAACGCUAUAUUUAGAUGAGCACAACAGCUGCACCGGCAAAGCUAUAGGAACCACAGUAGACCGAAAGAAACCUGUAUUUGACGAACUUGGACACGGAAUCGAAACUUAUACUUUGGCUGGCUGCGCUACGAUC